RNAcentral lists this ribosomal RNA (462 nucleotides) under uncultured bacterium. RNAcentral describes it as "bacterial SSU rRNA". It matches the Rfam family "Bacterial small subunit ribosomal RNA", at positions 459 to 919 of the family's 1533-position model. The record is from RNAcentral.
GUACCCCGUCUUGACGGUACCUUGUUAGAAAGCACCGGCUAACUCCGUGCCAGCAGCCGCGGUAAUACGGAGGGUGCAAGCGUUGUUCGGAAUUAUUGGGCGUAAAGGGCGUGUAGGUGGCUUGCCAAGUCUGGUGUGAAAGCCCACGGCUCAACCGUGGAACUGCAUUGGAAACUGGCAAGCUCGAGUGUUGGAGGGGGUCAGAGAAUUCCCGGUGUAGAGGUGAAAUUCGUAGAUAUCGGGAGGAAUACCAGUGGCGAAGGCGCUGACCUGGACGAAGAUUGACGCUGAGGUGCGAAAGCGCGGGGAGCAAACAGGAUUAGAUACCCUGGUAGUCCGCGCUGUAAACGAUGAGUGCUAGACGGUGGAGGUAUUGACCCCUUCGCUGCCGAAGCUAACGCGUUAAGCACUCCGCCUGGGGAGUACGGUCGCAAGACUAAAACUCAAAGGAAUUGACGAGGG